GACGAACGCUGGCGGCGUGCUUAACACAUGCAAGUCGAACGGAAAGACCCUGCUUUUGUGGGGUGCUCGAGUGGCGAACGGGUGAGUAACACGUGAGUAACCUGCCCUUGACUUUGGGAUAACUUCAGGAAACUGGGGCUAAUACCGGAUAGGAGCUCCUGCUGCAUGGUGGGGGUUGGAAAGUUUCGGCGGUUGGGGAUGGACUCGCGGCUUAUCAGCUUGUUGGUGGGGUAGUGGCUUACCAAGGCUUUGACGGGUAGCCGGCCUGAGAGGGUGACCGGCCACAUUGGGACUGAGGUACGGCCCAGACUCCUACGGGAGGCAGCAGUGGGGAAUAUUGCACAAUGGGCGGAAGCCUGAUGCAGCAACGCCGCGUGCGGGAUGACGGCCUUCGGGUUGUAAACCGCUUUCGCCUGUGACGAAGCGUGAGUGACGGUAAUGGGUAAAGAAGCACCGGCUAACUACGUG
This 468-nucleotide ribosomal RNA is filed under the name uncultured bacterium. RNAcentral describes it as "partial 16S ribosomal RNA". It matches the Rfam family "Bacterial small subunit ribosomal RNA", at positions 28 to 507 of the family's 1533-position model. The record is from RNAcentral.